This 280-nucleotide unclassified non-coding RNA is filed under the name Hevea brasiliensis (rubber tree). The record is from RNAcentral. Lineage: Eukaryota; Viridiplantae; Streptophyta; Magnoliopsida; Malpighiales; Euphorbiaceae.
GGCAACGGCGUGUCGGCUUCGGUCGCUGUUGAAGACAACCGUGUCAUCAAUCGCGCUCCGAUCUUCAACGGCGCGAAUGCAUCGACCGCGGCCCAGUUCUUCACCGGCGCCUACACCAACGCGUCCGGCGGUCAGGCUUCGCCUGAUUUCGUCGGCAACGUUCGCAUCGACCAGGCGGCCUUCACCGCCCAGUUGUCGGGCGGUCUGCANNNNNNNNNNCAUUCGCGCCAACUACUAUGGCGCGACGGAACCCACCGGCCAUCCAAGCGAUGAAUGGGGC